UGGGGAAUAUUGCACAAUGGGCGCAAGCCUGAUGCAGCCAUGCCGCGUGUAUGAAGAAGGCCUUCGGGUUGUAAAGUACUUUCAGCGGGGAGGAAGGGAGUAAAGUUAAUACCUUUGCUCAUUGACGUUACCCGCAGAAGAAGCACCGGCUAACUCCGUGCCAGCAGCCGCGGUAAUACGGAGGGUGCAAGCGUUGUCCGGAUUUAUUGGGCGUAAAGCGAGCGCAGGCGGUUUCUUAAGUCUGAUGUGAAAGCCCCCGGCUCAACCGGGGAGGGUCAUUGGAAACUGGGAGACUUGAGUGCAGAAGAGGAGAGUGGAAUUCCAUGUGUGGAGGUGAAAUGCGUAGAUAUAUGGAGGAACACCAGUGGCGAAGGCGGCUCUCUGGUCUGUAACUGACGCUGAGGCUCGAAAGCGUGGGGAGCAAACAGG
Molecule: ribosomal RNA, 429 nt
Filed under: Chloroflexota bacterium
Lineage: Bacteria; Bacillati; Chloroflexota
Description: Chloroflexi bacterium partial 16S ribosomal RNA
Rfam family: Bacterial small subunit ribosomal RNA
Source: RNAcentral